RNAcentral lists this ribosomal RNA (465 nucleotides) under uncultured bacterium. RNAcentral's name for it is "bacterial SSU rRNA". It matches the Rfam family "Bacterial small subunit ribosomal RNA", at positions 338 to 795 of the family's 1533-position model. The record is from RNAcentral.
CCUANGGGUGGCUGCAGUCGAGGAUUAUUCGCAAUGGGCGCAAGCCUGACGAUGCGACGCCGUGUGAACGAAGAAGGCCUUCGGGUUGUAAAGUUCUUUCGCCCGGGAACAAGAAGAGUAGACGAAUAGUCUACAAUUUUGAUGGUACUGGGUAAAGAAGCACUGGCUAACUCCGUGCCAGCAGCUGCGGUAAUACGGAGGGUGCAAGCAUUAAUCGGAUUUAUUGGGCGUAAAGGGUGCGUAGGUUAUUAUAUAGGUUAGGUAUGAAAUUUCGAGGCUCAACUUCGAAGCGGUACUUAAAACUGUAUGAAUUGAGGGUAGAUGGGGAAAAUGGAAUUCCACGUGUAGCGGUGAAAUGCGUAGAUAUGUGGAAGAACACCGGAGGCGAAAGCGAUUUUCUAAUUUACACCUGACACUGAGGCACGAGAGCAAGGGGAGCAAACAUGAUUAGAUACCCCGNUANUC